GAAGAUAAUAGGGGGAUUGUUAGAGUUAGGUUUCAUGAUAGGAAGACGACUUAAGCUCGAUCACUUCGCUCGCAUAUCGGCUGGAGGAUAGCAGUUAUCGCGUUCAGGACAAAUUUAUUAGUUGAGUUUCUUUAGUUGAGUUAUAUUGAAUUGUGCUUUAGUUCAAAUUUUAUAAAGGUAAUUUAGGAAAAAGUGAAAAAUUGUGCAGUGUUCCUAAACGGUGAUUUUUUUGAUUUUUUUUGUGUUUUUAUAGCUUGAGACGUAGUCUCUGCUUUUCUUACGCGAACGCUAUCAGUGAUUUCGCAGUUUAUCGUACAAAAAAGCGCAUGGGCGCUUUUUUGGUACGGGCUGGAGUUUAAAGAUUUCGACAAGCGGAGUCGUUUUCGGGGUUAUCGUGAAGCCGUCCAAGCCACCGUCUUCAAGUGAAAGAGCUCGUGCAUCCGCUAAGGCCCGCCUCACGAAGGCAGUUAAACGGGGGAAGUGUAGAUCGCCUGCAAGUCGAGCGAUAAUCUCCAACGGUCGCCAAUCAACCGUUGUGUACGAUCCACCCACCGUUACAACCUCUGUGGAUCGGGAGUUAAGGAGAGCUCGGAUUGGGUUCACGUCGCCAAAAGCGUGUCCCUUUCCGUACAGUCCAAAGGUCGGCGCUAUUCCUCGCUCGGUCAUAACGGAAAGGUACGUGAAGCCGGGUCGUUAGGUCUAGUGUCGGUCCGGAAGACAGUCUCGGGAACCCCGCGACCAAUUGUCGACGGGAAGCUCUCCUCUGAAGAAAAUCGGAAGGCCUCCGUCCAGCCGCCACUUCCCACCGCAGCUUUAGAUCGGCCAUAUUAGCACGAGCUCAGGUUCGCUUCUCGCCGCCAUCGUGCGAGGAUCGCUGCUGGCAGAUCGCUAGCAAGGCUUCGUCUUCAACCAACAUUUUGCCGGCACCCCGCCGGAAAGCCAACGUAGCCAUCACCGUAGCAUCCGUCACUUCGAGUCAACGACAUCGAAAAUCCUGCGCAGGUAUGUGGUAGUUCUAGUUCAUGGCCAUGAAUAGUUGUUUCCUUUCCCGCUACCAGAAAAAGUUCCGUCCAACCCGAAUGUAUUAAUUCAAUAAAACUGAUUAUUAAGUUGAA
Long non-coding RNA from Aedes albopictus (Asian tiger mosquito), 1115 nucleotides. RefSeq lists it as uncharacterized. The record is from RefSeq and is a predicted model, not a curated record. The transcript has 2 exons. Lineage: Eukaryota; Metazoa; Arthropoda; Insecta; Diptera; Culicidae.